GCCAGGCAAACCAGACUCCACCCCAGUGUCUUUGGAGCGAGGCAGCCAUGGGCAAAACCAAGCCUGCUGUAAAGCCCCAAUGUAGAGUUCAGGCAAAAUGUGGUGAAAAGGGAGGAGGCAGUUUUGGCGAAAUCUUCCCGGGAGACCACGCAGCAAUACCAGUGACAGAAAUGAACAGCUAUGUGCCAGGGACGGCACUGUGCGCAUGUAACACAUCUCAACCAAUCUGCUCAACGACCAGCAGGCAUCGUACGACCCCGUGUUGCAGACGAAGAAACUGAGGCGCAAGGAGGUUCCUCGGCUUGUAUGCCUGGGUGUCAUGUAUGAGCCAGGCCGUCUAGAUGGGGCCUCCACGUGAAAAGUAACUACAAAACAGAACCAGAAAAUAGUCAUGCUGUUCAAACAUUACACUCCAAGAAAAGAAACUCUAGUGUAUAACAGAGGGGCUCUGUCAAAAUUUAACAACAUAAAUAUUGGGCAAAUGAAGUUGUUUCUCUGGUGCUAUCUCAACCUGCCAAUGGAGAAAUAUCUCAAAAAGUCAAGAAUUGAAGCCAUUACUCAGAGACAGCAUCCUAUGGCAUGGUGAUCCAAAACAAGUACACCUCUACCUUUUCCCUUUCAGCCCCAAACCCCAAAACACUGGAGAAUAUUGGGGCAGGCAAGGCCCGUGAAUAGGUGAGCAGAGCUGGAAGAAGAGACUCCUGCCCCUGGUGGGCCUCAGGCUAUUUGUGGAAUGAUGUUUGUGAGAUGAACAUGUUCGCUCCCUCACCCGGAUGUUUUGGACAUAGGAGCCUGGAGUAAAGAGUGUAUAUCUUGGGCUGUCAUUUUCCCGUGUGAAAGGUGUUUUGUUUUCUCCCCGUUUGCACAACUUGUUUCCCUUAAACUGUGCUGUGCAUGGCUAGGAAGCUCAGCAAUAGACUAAACAGUUUGCGAUCCCACAGUUUUGCUUUCUGUUUCUCAGGCCUGACCCAACACUCCAUGGGUUCCCUAGCCCUUCGUAGGUGCUUCGAAACACUCAUGGGGUCCUUGACCUGAUCCCAGUGGGGGUUUGUGUGUGGAAGUUAGGGAACCUCUCUUUGAGAGUUCUGGUGCCCCUAACUCUGUAGGGUCUGACUUCACUUCUGCCCCAAUAAGAAUGAAAGGCUUUGCCAGUAGUGCAGCCCUCUCCUCCCAAAGUCCUAGAGGCAAUUACUCUGAAAUAUGGAAGAAAGAGGCACAUCUGAAAGCCCAGUGCUGUCUUCUUGUCCUCACAUCCCUCAGGAUCUCAAGGU
Molecule: long non-coding RNA, 1271 nt
Filed under: Homo sapiens (human)
Lineage: Eukaryota; Metazoa; Chordata; Mammalia; Primates; Hominidae
Description: HSALNT0047040
Source: RNAcentral